CUUCCACUUCACUACCAACUUUCACCACCAACUCUCCUUUAUGCAGACAAUCAAAUCCUCAUAAUCUUAGCAAAUCUUAUCAUCAAUCCUCUGCCAUUUCAAUUAGACAAAAGCCAAGUUUUAAAAGCUAAGUUUCAUUCUAUUAGUUCAUCCGCUCUUUCCUUCUCUUUUCAACACACCCAACAAAGUUUAAAGUGCAGAGUAAUCAAGCAGAUUCAGAUCCAAAUUCAUUGUUAAAUUGUUGAUUCGCAGAUCCAACUUUGUGAGUUCAGAAAAUUAUCAAGGUUACCUCCUACUUUACUUUUUCCAUACAUUCAUUUGUUAAAUUACAAAACUAUGAUUCAAAUGAAAACAGAUAGAACACACGCAUCCAUUACCACUUCUUUUAGACUAUUAUUGUUUCAAUUACAUUAGCUUAUCACCAUCAGAGAACCACCAACAGAAUAAUACACACGCACACAUUUUACUAUAUUUCUAUCUAUUACAAGUACAGAUCAGUUUUUGUAAAUAGAAAUGAAUGAAAAUGAACAGAA
Long non-coding RNA from Salvia miltiorrhiza (redroot sage), 533 nucleotides. RefSeq lists it as uncharacterized. The transcript has 2 exons. NCBI's taxonomy places the organism in Eukaryota, Viridiplantae, Streptophyta, Magnoliopsida, Lamiales, Lamiaceae. The record is from RefSeq and is a predicted model, not a curated record.